GAACGAAGCACUUUGAUCGAUUUCUUCGGAUUGAAAUUUUAGUGACUGAGUGGCGGACGGGUGAGUAACGCGUGGGUAACCUGCCUCACACAGGGGGAUAACAGUUGGAAACGGCUGCUAAUACCGCAUAAGCGCACAGUACCGCAUGGUACGGUGUGAAAAACUCCGGUGGUGUGAGAUGGACCCGCGUCUGAUUAGCUAGUUGGCAGGGCAACGGCCUACCAAGGCGACGAUCAGUAGCCGACCUGAGAGGGUGACCGGCCACAUUGGGACUGAGACACGGCCCAAACUCCUACGGGAGGCAGCAGUGGGGAAUAUUGCACAAUGGGGGAAACCCUGAUGCAGCGACGCCGCGUGAGCGAAGAAGUAUUUCGGUAUGUAAAGCUCUAUCAGCAGGGAAGAAGAAACGACGGUACCUGACUAAGAAGCACCGGCUAAAUACGUGCCAGCAGCCGCGGUAAUACGUAUGGUGCAAGCGUUAUCCGGAUUUACUGGGUGUAAAGGGAGCGCAGGCGGAAGGCUAAGUCUGAUGUGAAAGCCCGGGGCUCAACCCCGGUACUGCAUUGGAAACUGGUCAUCUAGAGUGUCGGAGGGGUAAGUGGAAUUCCUAGUGUAGCGGUGAAAUGCGUAGAUAUUAGGAGGAACACCAGUGGCGAAGGC
Molecule: ribosomal RNA, 660 nt
Filed under: uncultured Lachnospiraceae bacterium
Lineage: Bacteria; Bacillati; Bacillota; Clostridia; Lachnospirales; Lachnospiraceae
Description: bacterial SSU rRNA
Rfam family: Bacterial small subunit ribosomal RNA
Source: RNAcentral